This is a long non-coding RNA of Sapajus apella (tufted capuchin), 1943 nucleotides long. RefSeq lists it as uncharacterized. Lineage: Eukaryota; Metazoa; Chordata; Mammalia; Primates; Cebidae. The record is from RefSeq and is a predicted model, not a curated record. The transcript has 2 exons.
AGCUCUUCCUUGCUCUUCGUCCGUGGCUUAGCGAGAGCAGUUUUGCUUACAUGACAAUCACUCCUUUCGUUCGUGGGCUUCAACAAACCUGAGUACCUUUUCUGGGCCAGACCUGGAGAGGGGUCUCGAAGAACGGUCCGGCAGCCCUGCCCUGGAGGCGCUGACAGCCCGGUGAGAGGGACCGACGUGUGUAGGCAAAGACUCACCUUCCGUGUAAAAGGGUAGAAAGACGUACCGGGGGCUUGCGGAGCUUAGAAGAGUGGAUCUGACUCAGUUUGUGAGGAGGCAGCUGGGGAGGUCGUGUGGGAGGGAGGGCAUUCUAGGCAGUGGGGAAAGGCUGUCUGAGAGACGGGGACCUGAACACAUUCCGGUCGAGCGGGAAGGUGUAGUUUCUGGUGCAUGAGAAGAGGCAGGGUUGUGGGGCAGGGACUGAUUUCAGGGGGCUUUGAUCCCCCAACGUGUUAGAGAAGAUAUUGAAGGACAGAAAGGAUGAGCAGCUAACGAGGGGAAGGAGCCCCAGGAGUGCUGCUGGUCAGAGGAAUAGUGAGCAGACGUAGCAGUGAAGUCCGGUUGUCCUGGACUUGGAUGUGCUGCCCACUGGAUUUGGAUGUGAGCUAUUUGUAAGAGUUAAAGAGGAAAGAAACAAAACGCGGCUGGCAGUUAGAGACAGGUUUUCUUUACUUAAAACCUGAGAGGUGCUCCUGACCGGUUUCGGUCAAGAGCCCUUUCUCUUACAGACUAAGAGUAUAUAUUGGUUUUAGGGUGAAGGGGGAUUAUCACAAGCUUGGAAUGUUUAUGUGUGGGGUUGGAAUCUCUCUGGGAGGUGGGGAGGUUAUCUUGGGGCAGACAUCUUUCCGGCCCGGAGAGGGGUUAUCUGCGGGCUAGCAUGUCUCUGGUCUGGAAGGAGUUUGGAAUAUUUGUGGUUGGAGAUGUUAUUUGUGGUGUGUGGUCGUGCCGACCUUAGCUAUUAGGCUGAUACCUUUUGGAUUUUUUUUUUUUUUUAAUGUAAAAAAAAGCAAAUCUUAAGCUGAAACUCAUAAAAAGAUAAGCAACUAGAUGAGAACUACUCAUCUUAGUCUCACUCCUUCCUCACCAAAUACUUCUGUCAUUCUCACCUCUCCUUUUAAGCCAAAUAUUAAAACUUUUUAAUGGAGGAUUAUUUGCUAUGCCACCCUUGUGGGAAUCGGUGAACAUUUGAAUGAGGGGCUUGUCCAAGAUGGCAGUGCUCUUGCUCUGUCAAUCCAGACCCUGUAGUUAUAAAAAGGGAUAGGACGGCAUGUUCUUUCUGGCUACUUCCUGGUGAUUAGGACGGAGAGUUUUCUGGUCUCGGGUUGACUGUAGGAGCAAUGCCGUCUGCAGGAUGUCAGUUAAAAAUCUUUGAAUUAGGCAGGGUAAGAACAUUAAUCCCAGGCAUAUUAUUAGGAGAGGGCCCAGGAAUGGGAUGACCCAUGUUGUGAUUUUGUUUUCAAACCAAGAGUCUAUGUGGUUGUUCUGGUACUGCGUCAGCUUUUUAGCCUUUUCUUUAAGUUUUUUAGCAAUGCUUUUUGCUAGGCCCGAUUGGCUAAUAUAGAAACAACUUUUCUUAUCUAAUGAGAGGCAGAGGUGCAUGUUUGGAAAUUUUCUGUUAGUAACCGUUAUUCCUGCUAUGAGGAUAAUAAUUAAGCAAAAUGCUAUAGUAAUUUGAGAUGUUCUGUUUGAUAUUCCACCCUGAGGGUGCUACAGUAUCUAGUUCUACUGCAAAUAGUAGAGUAAAGCAGUUCCCACAAGGGUGGCAUAGUAAAUAAUUUCCAUUAAAAAGUUUUAAUAUUUGGCUUAAAAGGAGAGGUGGGAAUGACAGAAGUAUUUGGGGAGGUUAGGGGUGAGACUGAGUAAGAUGAGUAGUUCUCACCUAGUUGCUUAUCUUUUAUGAGUUUCAGCUUAAGAUGUGCUUUUUUUUUAACAUU